CCUACGGGGUGCAGCAGUGGGGAAUAUUGCACAAUGGGGGAAACCCUGAUGCAGCGACGCCGCGUGAGUGAAGAAGUAAUUCGUUAUGUAAAGCUCUAUCAGCAGGGAAGACAAUGACGGUACCUGAGUAAGAAGCCCCGGCUAACUACGUGCCAGCAGCCGCGGUAAUACGUAGGGGGCAAGCGUCAUCCGGAUUUACUGGGUGGAAAGGGAGCGUAGACGGCAGUGCAAGUCUGGAGUGAAAGGCGGGGGCUCAACCCCCGGACUGCUCUGGAAACUGUACGGCUGGAGUGCAGGAGAGGUAAGUGGAAUUCCUAGUGUAGCGGUGAAAUGCGUAGAUAUUAGGAGGAACACCAGUGGCGAAGGCGGCUUACUGGACUGUAACUGACGUUGAGGCUCGAAAGCGUGGGGAGCAAACAGGAUUAGAUACCCUAGUAGUC
This 440-nucleotide ribosomal RNA is filed under the name uncultured bacterium. RNAcentral's name for it is "partial 16S ribosomal RNA". It matches the Rfam family "Bacterial small subunit ribosomal RNA", at positions 338 to 795 of the family's 1533-position model. The record is from RNAcentral.